AUUGAACGCUGGCGGCAUGCCUUACACAUGCAAGUCGAACGGUAGCGGGCCUUCGGGUGCCGACGAGUGGCGAACGGGUGAGUAAUGUAUCGGAACGUACCAUUGAGUGGGGGAUAACGUAGCGAAAGUUACGCUAAUACCGCAUAUUCUCUCCGGAGGAAAGCAGGGGACCGCAAGGCCUUGCGCUCUUUGAGCGGCCGAUAUCAGAUUAGCUAGUUGGUGAGGUAAAGGCUCACCAAGGCGACGAUCUGUAGCGGGUCUGAGAGGAUGAUCCGCCACACUGGAACUGAGACACGGUCCAGACUCCUACGGGAGGCAGCAGUGGGGAAUUUUGGACAAUGGGGGCAACCCUGAUCCAGCCAUGCCGCGUGAGUGAAGAAGGCCUCGGUUGUAAGAC
This 397-nucleotide ribosomal RNA is filed under the name uncultured bacterium. RNAcentral's name for it is "bacterial SSU rRNA". It matches the Rfam family "Bacterial small subunit ribosomal RNA", at positions 30 to 431 of the family's 1533-position model. The record is from RNAcentral.